RNAcentral lists this long non-coding RNA (152 nucleotides) under Bos indicus x Bos taurus (hybrid cattle). Its description in RNAcentral is "lncRNA (ENSBIXG00005001097.1)". The record is from RNAcentral. Lineage: Eukaryota; Metazoa; Chordata; Mammalia; Artiodactyla; Bovidae.
UCCACUCAGAGUCUCGAAAGAUACUGUCCACGAGCCGUGAGACCCGCUCAUGUUCCUGAGAACGUUUUGCUGAGAAUGAUGACUCUCAAGCCGCCAGAAACUGCAUGUUGAAGAAACUUAGCGGAGGGAAUUUGACACACUGAAAUCCAGGA